This 80-nucleotide non-coding RNA is filed under the name Deltaproteobacteria bacterium. Its description in RNAcentral is "c-di-GMP sequence". It matches the Rfam family "c-di-GMP-I-GGC riboswitch aptamer". The record is from RNAcentral. Lineage: Bacteria; Pseudomonadati; Myxococcota; Myxococcia.
CCUGAAAAAGCCAAACCUGUCGUGAGGCGGGGACGGAAAGCCACGGGUCUCAUCAGACCGAGACAGCCGGGUUGCCAGAU